CGGAGGGUGCGAGCGUUGUCCGGAAUCACUGGGCGUAAAGGGCGCGUAGGCGGCGCGGCAAGUCCAUGGUGAAAGCUCGUGGCUCAACUGCGAGUCGGCCAAGGAUACUGCUGCGCUCGAGCACUGUAGAGGCAGGUGGAAUUCCGGGUGUAGCGGUGGAAUGCGUAGAGAUCCGGAAGAACACCGGUGGCGAAGGCGGCCUGCUGGGCAGUAGCUGACGCUGAGGCGCGACAGCGUGGGGAGCAAACAGGAUUAGAUACCCUGGUAGUCCACGCCGUAAACGAUGGGCACUAGGUGCUUGGGGGAGCGACCCUCUGAGUGCCGGCGCUAAACGCAUUAAGCGCCCCGCCUGGGGAGUACGGCCGCAAGGCUG
RNAcentral lists this ribosomal RNA (373 nucleotides) under uncultured organism. RNAcentral describes it as "bacterial SSU rRNA". It matches the Rfam family "Bacterial small subunit ribosomal RNA", at positions 526 to 896 of the family's 1533-position model. The record is from RNAcentral.